ACGGGUGAGUAAUGUCUGGGGAUCUGCCCGUUAGAGGGGGAUAACCACUGGAAACGGUGGCUAAUACCGCAUAACGUCGCAAGACCAAAGAGGGGGACCUUCGGGCCUCUCACUAUCGGAUGAACCCAGAUGGGAUUAGCUAGUAGGCGGGGUAACGGCCCACCUAGGCGACGAUCCCUAGCUGGUCUGAGAGGAUGACCAGCCACACUGGAACUGAGACACGGUCCAGACUCCUACGGGAGGCAGCAGUGGGGAAUAUUGCACAAUGGGCGCAAGCCUGAUGCAGCCAUGCCGCGUGUAUGAAGAAGGCCUUCGGGUUGUAAAGUACUUUCAGCGGGGAGGAAGGCGAUAAGGUUAAUAACCUUGUCGAUUGACGUUACCCGCAGAAGAAGCACCGGCUAACUCCGUGCCAGCAGCCGCGGUAAUACGGAGGGUGCGAGCGUUAAUCGGAAUUACUGGGCGUAAAGCGCACGCAGGCGGUCUGUUAAGUCAGAUGUGAAAUCCCCGGGCUUAACCUGGGAACUGCAUUUGAAACUGGCAGGCUUGAGUCUCGUAGAGGGGGGUAGAAUUCCAGGU
This 576-nucleotide ribosomal RNA is filed under the name uncultured bacterium. RNAcentral's name for it is "bacterial SSU rRNA". It matches the Rfam family "Bacterial small subunit ribosomal RNA", at positions 102 to 674 of the family's 1533-position model. The record is from RNAcentral.